AACGAACGCUGGCGGCAUGCUUAACACAUGCAAGUCGAACGAGACGUCCGGGCAUAGGUGCGCAGGUGGGCGUACCGCGGGGUAACUUGCACGUGGGUUCGCUAUCACUGCCCGAGAGGUAUGCUAAUACAACUUGAUCUCUUCGGGCAAAAGAUUUCUCGCUUUUGGGUGGGCGCGGGUUAGUUUCGUUGGUUGGUAGGGGACAAGCCUCCCAAGGGCACGAUCCAUAGCUGGUCUGAGAGGAAGAUCAUCCACAGUGGGAGUGAGACACGGCCCAGACUCCUACGGGAGGCAGCAGUGGGGAAUAUUGGACAAUGGGCGCAAGCCUGAUCCAGCCAUGCCGCGUGAGUGAUGAAGGCCUUAGGGUUGUAAAGCUCUUUUACCCGAGAUGAUAAUGACGGUACCGGGAGAAGAAGCACCGGCUAACUCCGUG
This 433-nucleotide ribosomal RNA is filed under the name uncultured bacterium. RNAcentral's name for it is "partial 16S ribosomal RNA". It matches the Rfam family "Bacterial small subunit ribosomal RNA", at positions 29 to 507 of the family's 1533-position model. The record is from RNAcentral.